AAGAAUGAAGAGAGUGGAAACAAGAUAUGAAGAAACCACGAUUGUUAAAGCAAGUAAAUGUCAUUUACAAAUACGCACCACCAAACAGAAGAAUAAUCAAUAAUCCAAAUUAACGCCAACUGCUCUAGCUCAUAGUUUUGAUAUCCACUAUAUGUAUUUCGGAGAUUAACUCUGAAUUCCUUAUCUUUGUUGCAAUGCUUUUGGUUGUCACCAUCUUCAAUUCCUUGAACCCAUGCAUCCUCACAAUCUCUUCCGGGAGGGUAUCCAGANGGGCGGUGAGUCCGCCGAAAAUCAGCAGUCGAGCCAACCCCACCAGUCCAUUUGGUAAGGCGGCGAAUCUGCAGAGGUGGUUGGUGGCGGCGGAUCUAGUGAUGGUGGUGGGGGGAGGCGGUGGGCGAUGGAGAGAUAGGGGGCGGUGUAGUUCGCCGGACAUGGAGGAGGGGGAUGAGAAAGAGAAUGAUUUUUUGUUUAUUUUUUUUUCAAGUGUCAAUUUUUCAGUCCAAAUAGGCGCCAUAUCAGCUCGGUAUUAUCAUGUAGGCGACAAGUCAGCCCGGAGCUUCACCGGAGAAAAAGCAUGGAAAAAUUGUUCAACCCCUUAAAUUUAGGGAAUUCCUGAUAAAAAAAAAUGUUCAUGAAAAAUUUGGAAAUAAUUGAGGUAUGGUUAUGGCUUUUGGCGUAAUUAACCCUUUAUAUAAUAAUAAAUCUCCGUCGAAUUUCGACGGGGCUAUUUACUACUCCCUCCGUCCCACGAGUCUUGACACGUUUUCCUUUUUGGGCCGUCCCACGAAUCUUGACACGUUUCCUUUUUUGGCAAUAAUUAUUACCUUCUCUCUCCUACUUUAUCACCUUUAUUAUAUUCUCUCUCCUACUUUAUCACCUUUAUUACCUUCUCUCUCCUACUUUAUCAAUUUUAUACUUUAUUAAUUACACACUUAAAACACUAAUCUACAACUCCUUAAUUCCCGUGCCCAACCCAAACGUGUCAAGACUCGCGGGACGGAGGGAGUAGUUGAAAUAAUGAUCUAUUUGAAGAAUGAAGAGAGUGGAAACAAGAUAUGAAGAAACCACGAUUGUUAAAGCAAGUAAAUGUCAUUUACAAAUAGGCAACCACCAAACAGAGAAGAAUAAUCAAUAAUCCAAAUUAACGCCAACUGCUCUAGCUCAUAGGAUUGAUAUUCACUAUCUGUAUUUCGGAGAUUAAGUAUGAAUUCCUUAUCUUUGUUGCAAUGCUUUUGGUUGUCACCAUCUUCAAUUCCUUGAACCCAUACAUCCUCACAAUCUCUUCCGGGAGGGUAUCCAGAUAUGGACAAUCAUGGAUUUCUAGUUUCUUGAGCCAAUUCAUUGGAUCUUCUCCACACUGUAUAUUU
Molecule: long non-coding RNA, 1367 nt
Filed under: Salvia miltiorrhiza (redroot sage)
Lineage: Eukaryota; Viridiplantae; Streptophyta; Magnoliopsida; Lamiales; Lamiaceae
Description: long non-coding RNA (SMIL_LNC010467)
Source: RNAcentral